Molecule: small nuclear RNA, 194 nt
Filed under: Phascolarctos cinereus (koala)
Lineage: Eukaryota; Metazoa; Chordata; Mammalia; Diprotodontia; Phascolarctidae
Description: U2 spliceosomal RNA (ENSPCIG00000002070.2)
Rfam family: U2 spliceosomal RNA
About the family: U2 is a small nuclear RNA (snRNA) component of the spliceosome (involved in pre-mRNA splicing). Complementary binding between U2 snRNA (in an area lying towards the 5' end but 3' to hairpin I) and the branchpoint sequence (BPS) of the intron results the bulging out of an unpaired adenosine, on the BPS, which initiates a nucleophilic attack at the intronic 5' splice site, thus starting the first of two transesterification reactions that mediate splicing.
Source: Rfam by way of RNAcentral
AUCACUUUUUGUGUCUUUUGGCUAAGAUCAAGUAGAUAAUCUAUUCCUAUUAGUUUAAUAUCUAAUAGGUCCUCUAUCUAAAGACUGAACAUUAAAUAGAUUUCUUUGGAACAGGGAGAUAGAAUGGGAACUUGCUCCAUCCACUUCAGAAAUUGAUGUGAUACUGCAAUACUUCUGAGAAUAGUGCAUUUUCC